AGAGUUUGAUCAUGGCUCAGAGCGAACGCUGGCGGCAGGCCUAAUACAUGCAAGUCGAGCGGUCCCUUCGGGGACAGCGGCGGACGGGUGAGUAACGCGUGGGAAUGUGCCCUUUGGUACGGAACAACUGAGGGAAACUUCAGCUAAUACCGUAUGUGCCCUUCGGGGGAAAGAUUUAUUGCCAUUGGAGCAGCCCGCGUUGGAUUAGGUAGUUGGUGGGGUAAAGGCCCACCAAGCCGACGAUCCAUAGCUGGUCUGAGAGGAUGAUCAGCCACACUGGGACUGAGACACGGCCCAGACUCCUACGGGAGGCAGCAGUAGGGAAUCUUGCGCAAUGGGCGAAAGCCUGACGCAGCCAUGCCGCGUGAAUGAUGAAGGUCUUAGGAUUGUAAAAUUCUUUCACCGGGGAAGAUAAUGACGGUACCCGGAGAAGAAGCCCCGGCUAACUUCGUGCCAGCAGCCGCGGUA
This 468-nucleotide ribosomal RNA is filed under the name uncultured Pseudomonadota bacterium. RNAcentral describes it as "bacterial SSU rRNA". It matches the Rfam family "Bacterial small subunit ribosomal RNA", at positions 8 to 522 of the family's 1533-position model. Lineage: Bacteria; Pseudomonadati; Pseudomonadota. The record is from RNAcentral.